This 497-nucleotide ribosomal RNA is filed under the name uncultured bacterium. RNAcentral describes it as "partial 16S ribosomal RNA". It matches the Rfam family "Bacterial small subunit ribosomal RNA", at positions 28 to 507 of the family's 1533-position model. The record is from RNAcentral.
GAUGAGCGCUGGCGGCGUGCCUAAUACAUGCAAGUCGAGCGAACGGACGAGAAGCUUGCUUCUCUGAUGUUAGCGGCGGACGGGUGAGUAACACGUGGAUAACCUACCUAUAAGACUGGGAUAACUUCGGGAAACCGGAGCUAAUACCGGAUAAUAUUUUGAACCGCAUGGUUCAAAAGUGAAAGACGGUCUUGCUGUCACUUAUAGAUGGAUCCGCGCUGCAUUAGCUAGUUGGUAAGGUAACGGCUUACCAAGGCAACGAUGCAUAGCCGACCUGAGAGGGUGAUCGGCCACACUGGAACUGAGACACGGUCCAGACUCCUACGGGAGGCAGCAGUAGGGAAUCUUCCGCAAUGGGCGAAAGCCUGACGGAGCAACGCCGCGUGAGUGAUGAAGGUCUUCGGAUCGUAAAACUCUGUUAUUAGGGAAGAACAGAUGUGUAAGUAACUGUGCACAUCUUGACGGUACCUAAUCAGAAAGCCACGGCUAACUACGUG